AAAAUGGGUGGCACCAUAUCCAAAGUAUGAAUAUGGGUGGUGGGAACCCUUCUUGCCUGCUGAAUCUAAAGAAUCAAAAGUACAGAGCACUUAACCUUUUCAUUUUGGCUAGUUUUUAACUCAUCUUUUGUUUUCUUUUUCUUUUUACCACUUUCAAAUUUGUGAGGAAUUUUUUUAAUGCACUAGCAACUGGCAGCCUAAGCUGCUGUUUUCAGC
This 216-nucleotide unclassified non-coding RNA is filed under the name Hevea brasiliensis (rubber tree). Lineage: Eukaryota; Viridiplantae; Streptophyta; Magnoliopsida; Malpighiales; Euphorbiaceae. The record is from RNAcentral.